This 508-nucleotide ribosomal RNA is filed under the name uncultured bacterium. RNAcentral describes it as "bacterial SSU rRNA". It matches the Rfam family "Bacterial small subunit ribosomal RNA", at positions 66 to 573 of the family's 1533-position model. The record is from RNAcentral.
ACGAGAAUCUGUGGAAAGAGGAUUCGUCCAAUUAAAGCAGAGGACAGUGGCGGACGGGUGAGUAACGCGUGAGGAACCUGCCUUUCAGAGGGGGACAACAGUUGGAAACGACUGCUAAUACCGCAUGACACAUUGAGGUCGCAUGGCCUUGAUGUCAAAGAUUUAUCGCUGAAAGAUGGCCUCGCGUCUGAUUAGCUAGUUGGUGAGGUAACGGCCCACCAAGGCGACGAUCAGUAGCCGGACUGAGAGGUUGAACGGCCACAUUGGGACUGAGAUACGGCCCAGACUCCUACGGGAGGCAGCAGUGGGGAAUAUUGGGCAAUGGGCGCAAGCCUGACCCAGCAACGCCGCGUGAAGGAAGAAGGCUUUCGGGUUGUAAACUUCUUUUGUCAGGGACGAGUAGGAGACGGUACCUGACGAAUAAGCCACGGCUAACUACGUGCCAGCAGCCGCGGUAAUACGUAGGUGGCAAGCGUUGUCCGGAUUUACUGGGUGUAAAGGGCGUGUA